RNAcentral lists this ribosomal RNA (425 nucleotides) under uncultured bacterium. Its description in RNAcentral is "partial 16S ribosomal RNA". It matches the Rfam family "Bacterial small subunit ribosomal RNA", at positions 354 to 796 of the family's 1533-position model. The record is from RNAcentral.
GUGGGGAAUCUUGCGCAAUGGGCGAAAGCCUGACGCAGCCAUGCCGCGUGAAUGAUGAAGGUCUUAGGAUUGUAAAAUUCUUUCACCGGGGACGAUAAUGACAGUACCCGGAGAAGAAGCCCCGGCUAACUUCGUGCCAGCAGCCGCGGUAAUACGAAGGGGGCUAGCGUUGCUCGGAAUUACUGGGCGUAAAGGGCGCGUAGGCGGACAGUUUAGUCAGAGGUGAAAGCCCAGGGCUCAACCUUGGAAUUGCCUUUGAUACUGGCUGUCUUGAGUACGGGAGAGGUGAGUGGAACUCCGAGUGUAGAGGUGAAAUUCGUAGAUAUUCGGAAGAACACCAGUGGCGAAGGCGACUCACUGGCCCGUUACUGACGCUGAGGCGCGAAAGCGUGGGGAGCAAACAGGAUUAGAUACCCUGGUAGUCC